This 22-nucleotide unclassified non-coding RNA is filed under the name Chlamydomonas reinhardtii. RNAcentral describes it as "small RNA Cre_0160". The record is from RNAcentral. Lineage: Eukaryota; Viridiplantae; Chlorophyta; Chlorophyceae; Chlamydomonadales; Chlamydomonadaceae.
AAUCGAACCAUCUAGUAGCUGG